ACUAUAGUUGUGUACCUGCAGUAAACAUGGACGGAUAAUCAUUAGUAUGUUUUUGGUGGUCACUUGAGAAUUAUCAGGCUGCCCAUAAAGAACCCUACUAACACUG
Molecule: non-coding RNA, 106 nt
Organism: Solanum lycopersicum (tomato)
Lineage: Eukaryota; Viridiplantae; Streptophyta; Magnoliopsida; Solanales; Solanaceae
Source: Rfam